Long non-coding RNA from Physeter macrocephalus (sperm whale), 593 nucleotides. RefSeq lists it as uncharacterized. The transcript has 4 exons. NCBI's taxonomy places the organism in Eukaryota, Metazoa, Chordata, Mammalia, Artiodactyla, Physeteridae. The record is from RefSeq and is a predicted model, not a curated record.
AGCUCAUGCUACUGGCCACGGGACUAACCUCGUCUCAAGGAGUUAAGGAGCUGGCUAGUGCCCUCCUCUCUCCUAGACUCCCCUGACUCUCUUCCUGCCACCCAGCGCUGGGGGUCCCAGGAGACUGCACGCCACGGUGACCACACUGAAAGACCCCGGACGCCUGCGGCAGGCCGGGCCCACCGGCCAGAGUCAGGCACAUUAUCAGAAGAAUGCAUGAAGUAAUGAGGAGUUAACAAGAGCAGAGGCUUCAAGUAGCUCCCUAAUGAAGAGCCAGGAGAGACAUUUCAUUACAUACAAGCUGUCUUUUCCUAAACAUGAUGGAAGCCAUUGCUCAUCAGGGAUUGUGUCAUUAAAAUGGGGCUUUUAUACCUGAGGGAAGACAUCUUGAUUCUGCUGGCCCAGAAAGAUUUGAAGAAAUACAUCAGAAUGAAUGGGACCCUGUUACCAUCCCUCCUGCCACAGCUUUCAAAGGGAACCUGUGUCUGUAGAAUGUGGUCAUGGCUCGAGCUACAGGAAUAAGAAGAAAGAAUGAAUAUGGGGCCGGAAAUAAGCAGGCCAUCAUCUGGAAAAGUAUAAAACACAGAAGUUUA